GGUUGUGGCUCAGUGGUAGAGUACUUGCCUAGCACCUGAGGCACUGGGUUCGAUCCUCAGCACCA
Molecule: transfer RNA, 65 nt
Filed under: Marmota monax (woodchuck)
Lineage: Eukaryota; Metazoa; Chordata; Mammalia; Rodentia; Sciuridae
Description: tRNA.Ala
Source: RNAcentral